CUUACCAUGCAGUCGAACGGCAGCACGGGGGCAACCCUGGUGGCGAGUGGCGAACGGGUGAGUAAUACAUCGGAACGUGUCCUGGAGUGGGGGAUAGCCCGGCGAAAGCCGGAUUAAUACCGCAUACGCUCUGAGGAGGAAAGGGGGGGAUCUUAGGACCUCUCGCUUUAGGGGCGGCCGAUGGCAGAUUAGCUAGUUGGUGGGGUAAAGGCCUACCAAGGCGACGAUCUGUAGCUGGUCUGAGAGGACGACCAGCCACACUGGGACUGAGACACGGCCCAGACUCCUACGGGAGGCAGCAGUGGGGAAUUUUGGACAAUGGGGGCAACCCUGAUCCAGCAAUGCCGCGUGUGUGAAGAAGGCCUUCGGGUUGUAAAGCACUUUUGUCCGGAAAGAAAUCAUCCUGGCUAAUAUCCGGGGUGGAUGACGGUACCGGAAGAAUAAGCACCGGCUAACUACGUGCCAGCAGCCGCGGUAAUACGUAGGGUGCAAGCGUUAAUCGGAAUUACUGGGCGUAAAGCGUGCGCAGGCGGUUCGCUAAGACAGAUGUGAAAUCCCCGGGCUUAACCUGGGAACUGCAUUUGUGACUGGCGGGCUAGAGUAUGGCAGAGGGGGGUAGAAUUCCACGUGUAGCAGUGAAAUGCGUAGAGAUGUGGAGGAAUACCGAUGGCGAAGGCAGCCCCCUGGGCCAAUACUGACGCUCAUGCACGAAAGCGUGGGGAGCAAACAGGAUUAGAUACCCUGGUAGUCCACGCCCUAAACGAUGUCAACUAGUUGUCGGGUCUUCAUUGACUUGGUAACGAAGCUAACGCGUGAAGUUGACCGCCUGGGGAGUACGGUCGCAAGAUUAAAACUCAAAGGAAUUGACGGGGACCCGCACAAGCGGUGGAUGAUGUGGAUUAAUUCGAUGCAACGCGAAAAACCUUACCUACCCUUGACAUGGUCAGGACCCUGCUGAAAGGUGGGGGUGCCCGAAAGGGAACUGAUACACA
Molecule: ribosomal RNA, 992 nt
Filed under: uncultured Paraburkholderia sp.
Lineage: Bacteria; Pseudomonadati; Pseudomonadota; Betaproteobacteria; Burkholderiales; Burkholderiaceae
Description: bacterial SSU rRNA
Rfam family: Bacterial small subunit ribosomal RNA
Source: RNAcentral